UGGGGAAUAUUGCACAAUGGGCGCAAGCCUGAUGCAGCCAUGCCGCGUGUGUGAAGAAGGCCUUCGGGUUGUAAAGCACUUUCAGCGGGGAGGAAGGCGUUAAGGUUAAUAACCUUGGCGAUUGACGUUACCCGCAGAAGAAGCACCGGCUAACUCCGUGCCAGCAGCCGCGGUAAUACGGAGGGUGCAAGCGUUAAUCGGAAUUACUGGGCGUAAAGCGCACGCAGGCGGUCUGUCAAGUCGGAUGUGAAAUCCCCGGGCUCAACCUGGGAACUGCAUACGAAACUGGCAGGCUAGAGUCUUGUAGAGGGGGGUAGAAUUCCAGGUGUAGCGGUGAAAUGCGUAGAGAUCUGGAGGAAUACCGGUGGCGAAGGCGGCCCCCUGGACAAAGACUGACGCUCAGGUGCGAAAGCGUGGGGAGCAAACAGG
Molecule: ribosomal RNA, 429 nt
Filed under: Chloroflexota bacterium
Lineage: Bacteria; Bacillati; Chloroflexota
Description: Chloroflexi bacterium partial 16S ribosomal RNA
Rfam family: Bacterial small subunit ribosomal RNA
Source: RNAcentral